This 97-nucleotide signal recognition particle RNA is filed under the name Gammaproteobacteria bacterium. Its description in RNAcentral is "signal recognition particle sRNA small type". It matches the Rfam family "Bacterial small signal recognition particle RNA". Rfam says of the family: The signal recognition particle (SRP) is a universally conserved ribonucleoprotein involved in the co-translational targeting of proteins to membranes. The record is from RNAcentral. Lineage: Bacteria; Pseudomonadati; Pseudomonadota; Gammaproteobacteria.
UAUUGGUCCCUUUGCGACGAUAAGCCGCAAACCCCGCCAGGUCCGGAAGGAAGCAACGGUAGUGGCUGAUUCGGGCGCCUAAGUGCGGCUGGUGCUC